This 253-nucleotide ribosomal RNA is filed under the name uncultured bacterium. RNAcentral describes it as "partial 16S ribosomal RNA". It matches the Rfam family "Bacterial small subunit ribosomal RNA", at positions 524 to 776 of the family's 1533-position model. The record is from RNAcentral.
UACGAAGGGGGCUAGCGUUGUUCGGAAUUACUGGGCGUAAAGCGCGCGCAGGCGGCUAUCCAAGUCAGUGGUGAAAGCCCGGAGCUCAACUCCGGAACUGCCAUUGAAACUGUUUAGCUUGAGGAUGAGAGAGGUGAGUGGAAUUCCCAGUGUAGAGGUGAAAUUCGUAGAUAUUGGGAAGAACACCGGUGGCGAAGGCGGCUCACUGGCCCGUUACUGACGCUCAGGCGCGACAGCGUGGGGAGCAAACAGG